This 697-nucleotide ribosomal RNA is filed under the name uncultured organism. RNAcentral describes it as "bacterial SSU rRNA". It matches the Rfam family "Bacterial small subunit ribosomal RNA", at positions 97 to 792 of the family's 1533-position model. The record is from RNAcentral.
GGCGAACGGGUGAGUAUCGCGUUUGCAACCUACCUUUAACUGGAGAAUAGCCCGAAGAAAUUCGGAUUAAUGCUCCAUAAUAUCAAGAGAAUGCAUAUUCUUUUGAUUAAAGCUCCGGCGGUUAAAGAUGGGCAUGCGUGCCAUUAGCUUGUUGGUGAGGUAACGGCUCACCAAGGCAACGAUGGCUAGGGGUUCUGAGAGGAUGAUCCCCCACACUGGUACUGAGACACGGACCAGACUCCUACGGGAGGCAGCAGUGAGGAAUAUUGGUCAAUGGGCGAAAGCCUGAACCAGCCAUGCCGCGUGCAGGAUGACGGCGCUAUGCGUUGUAAACUGCUUUUCUGCUCCAAGAACCCCCCGAUCGUGAUCGGGGUUGACGGUAGAGCAGGAAUAAGCAUCGGCUAACUCCGUGCCAGCAGCCGCGGUAAUACGGAGGAUGCAAGCGUUAUCCGGAUUUAUUGGGUUUAAAGGGUGCGUAGGCGGGAUAAUAAGUCAGUGGUGAAAUCCUGCGGCUUAACCGUAGAAUUGUCAUUGAUACUGUUAUUCUUGAGUUCAGUUGAGGUGGGCGGAAUGUAUAAUGUAGCGGUGAAAUGCUUACAUAUUAUACAGAACACCGAUUGCGAAGGCAGCUCACUAAGCUGAUACUGACGCUGAGGCACGAAAACGUGGGGAGCGAACAGGAUUAGAUACCCUGGUA